This is a non-coding RNA of Xyrichtys novacula (pearly razorfish), 113 nucleotides long. NCBI's taxonomy places the organism in Eukaryota, Metazoa, Chordata, Actinopteri, Labriformes, Labridae. The record is from the annotation of a GenBank genome assembly.
CCAGGUAUGGUGACAUGGUCCCAAAGACCAUCGCUGGGAAGAUCUUCGGUUCCAUCUGCUCUCUGAGCGGCGUGCUGGUGAUCGCUCUGCCUGUCCCUGUGAUCGUCUCCAAC